AUAGUCUCGUCGGGGUGCCUUCGGGCUGAGAGGCGGCUGAAACCGCCAACCCGCGGAACCUGAACCGGGUCAUGCCGGCGGAGGAAGCGAGAUGUGCAGGUAU
RNAcentral lists this non-coding RNA (103 nucleotides) under bacterium YEK0313. Its description in RNAcentral is "TPP riboswitch aptamer (THI element)". It matches the Rfam family "TPP riboswitch aptamer (THI element)". From Rfam's summary of the family: Vitamin B(1) in its active form thiamin pyrophosphate (TPP) is an essential coenzyme that is synthesised by coupling of pyrimidine and thiazole moieties in bacteria. The record is from Rfam by way of RNAcentral.